UCUGCAUCACUAUAGCUGGGGCAUGUCCUGGGUCCCCCGGAUUGGCUGUGGAGAGAAGAGGAACAGUUUUCUUGCAUUAGCCAUUUGAAAACAAUGCUUUUCCUCCCUGACCGCUUCAGAAUCAACUACCCACAAUCAACACGUUCCUUUAAAUGGUGCUCAUGGAACACAGUUCUCCAUGUGAGAGGGCCAUCUGCAUACAAGUCUACACUUUUGGCUUCUCAGAGGGUGAGGAGUCAAGCACUGAUGGCCAGUGGAGCACACUUUCCCUCUGGUAAGGAGAGUUCUUUCCACGGAUCCAGUAUUAUCUAUUUCAGGUCAGUGUGAAGCUCCAUUGACCAAAGAGAAAAACAACAACAACAACAACAACAACAACAAACAAAAACCUCCCUCCCUCAGUGUGUUCAAGUGUUUUUACUGGUCCAUAAACAAAAAUCACCCACACUUACUCAAACCACGGGCUCUUCCUCAUCACUCAUUGUUGGCAUAACAUUAGUUGCUUAUCACACCUGUUUAAACUUCCAGAGGAUAAGAAAUAAUUUGUAUACACCUAAGUCAAUUUGUUUGUAAGAUUACUCUGCAGAAGGGCUGAUAUAAACAGAAUGUGCAUGAAGCUAGUCUAGUCUAGUUGCACUGAUGUGGUGGCACAAAGCUGAUAGCUCAGGAACCAGCCCAGGCCACGUUCAGAUUUGUAGGCACCAUCCUCUAGUAAGUUCUACUAAUCUCUUCCUUUUUUGUUUAUGGACCUUUCUUCAUUCCCUGGCCCUACCCUGGAGGGCCCAUCCAGCUACCUGCUGGUAGGCCACCUCCAGGAGAUGGGCCUACUGCCUCCUCAAACCCAACUUGUCUCAAACCCAAAUCAUUAUCAUCCUUCUGACUCAGCCAGAGUCACCAAAAACCAGGUUCUUCUUUUUCUACCAAUUGGCCAUCAUUGGAGGAACCUGAAGUGUCUGAGCCUGCAUCAUGAACAAUACUCCACUUACUAGGGUGGCUUUCCACCCAAGCUGAGAAACUGUGUUCCAAAAAUUUACACUUGGAGAUGUCUCCUCCUAGCUUCACUCUCAGGACCUGGACCAACCCCCCACAUUUCAUCCCUGGACUCUGACAGCAGGUUUCAAAUCGGCCUCUACCUGCCACUACCUGCCAGGGUAAAGCCCUGGAUCACUACCACCCUGUGCUAUUCUAGAGAGAGAUUUUCAGGUGGGCAAAUGCUCACCUUUCAAGUGCCAAUACUUAAAAAAAUUAAGAGUACUGUAUGCUUAGGUGAAGUACACUUGAGUAGCUUUUGUCCACAGGCCAGCAUUUGCUGAACUUUGCCAGUAAGCAGGGCACUUCAUGGUAAACUGACCAAUUGCAGUGAGUCUUUAAAGCCCUCCCUGCUCCUUGCAGUCAUUUAUUGCCAUGUCUCUAGAGUUGCUCUUUAUUGUUAAAAGUUAAUUUUUACUUACCUUUUUGGUUACUUUCAGAUCAGAAAGUAUGAGUCUAACUAGAUGAAACUUUAUUGUAAUAACAGUUUAAACAUGUUUAAAUAUAGCAUUAUGUAGCACACGGACAUAACCAAACACAUAUUCCUUUUCUAACCAGCAAAAAUUCCAGGAAACUUGUAGAGUUCCUCAUCUUCUGUUGUAGAUGUUUUCAGUGUCUGGACAGAGUUCGCGGUACCAAGCAAAUACCCCUCACCAUCCUGCCUCACCCACUUGGAAACGUGAAAGCUGACUCGGGCACUUUUGGUCAGCGCUAAUCCAAACCAGGGGACACACAGGAGUCCUCGGCCAGCACCUUGGCACCACACCUUCUUUGUGACGGCUGUGAUUCUAGCAGCACACACAACCUCUGCAAUUAUGUGUGACUUUAACUAAUUACCUGUCCCGGCUCUGCCCAAACCCCUUUCCCCCAACCCCUGGUUCCCUUCCAGUAUUCUAGUUCAUGCCUGAGGCCCUAUCUUGAGGAAUCCUCAACAGCCCUGGUCACAAACAAAAUAACUCCUUCUAGGAAUUCUAUUCCGCCUGCCGAGUUUGCUCUGCUAGGUAUCAUGAUCUGUUCUACUUCUCACCCAGCCUAAGUUUGGCCAUAAUACCGGCCCAGCUAUAAAACACACUCAUUCACUUAGAAUUGCUCUGUGUUCUUUCUAGGUUUAUUAAAAAAGACUAACACACACAGAGUAUGAAGUUUGAAAAUGCAUCUUUUUCUCAUUCCCUUUAUAGCUGAACUCAAAAUAGCACUCGUCCCACUCGCCCCUUCAGAGAAGGAGCUGCUUUGUUGGGGAAGGUUUUACAUUUCUCUCACCUACUUAACACCCUGCAUAUACACUUUUCUCAACUUAUCUCAGUAAGUUGAUUCUCCCCAAUUCUUGCUUUAUGAGAUGACUGGCAUGUCCAACAGAACUUUCUGCAAUGAUGGAAAUGUUACAGAUGUGAUGGCUACUGAGCACUCAAAAUGUGCCUCUGAGAAACUGAAACUUUUACUUUAUUUAACUUUAAUUUAAAUUGCCACAUAGUGCCAGUGGCUGCUGUCCUGGACGGCACAGGCAGACUCUUGGUAUUCCCAUCAAAGGAGAGGAAGGCAAGGCUGUGCUUUCCUUGGACACAACUGUGCUACUGAUUGAGCCUCAGGUGUUUACCCUGAAGCUAUAAAUCCAGGCACUUGUUCUGUGAAUCCAGUGGAAAGAUUCCCCAGUUCAAAUUCCAACUUACCCAUGUUAUCUGUGUCGAGUUUCAGUUUCCUCAUUUGUGAUAGUUACCUGAUGUAUGUAAACAGGCUGCUGGGACAAUCGACUGAGACAAAAUGGAUCUGAAAGCACACUGUAACCUAAAUAAACACCCUACAAAUAGGCAGUAUUUAUGAAACACUGGAAUUAAAAGUACUAUAGAACCAUGUGUCAAUGUACAGCUCAUGUUCUAACCAUUUAGCUAUGGAUGUAAUGGGAAAGAGACACAUUCUCUCCCUAUGGAUACUACACCAUAUCAAUUAUACUGGAAAGAAGUGGCAGUGUGGACAACACACGUGUAGAAAGGACACAAGAGGUGGCAAGUAAAACGCCUGCAUUCUUUCUCAGCAGAUGUAAACCUUGACUCAUUGCUUACCAAACACACUAGGAGUACAAAGAAAAAAAUAAAGCUUAUUCAAUUGAAAAACUUGCCCUUUGGCACUGAAUGAGGUUUUCCAGAUCUCUUUCCAGCCACUUCUUCCCAAGAUUCAAAAGGCCAGCAGUCAUGGACAUCACCCAUGCCUACAUUUCCCCUGAGCCCUCAAAGAUGAAUGGGACAAUCUGAGCAUUAGACAUGGCCAUGGUUUAAAGGUGAGGCACAUUUCCUCCAACUUCAAGUUUCCCUCAAAGACUAAAACACAAAGUCUCUCGUUUUUAUGCUUAUUUCAUGAAUAUCUUUUCCCAAGGCUUUGAGUUCCAGGUCUGUGUGUUUAAUAUACCUAGCCUAAUACUAAUUGCAAAGUUGGUCCUCAGAACUAAGUUAGUUAUAUAAUAGUGAACAUUCUUUAAUUUCUUCAGAGAGUCCUUAAUGAACUCAAAUUCAUAAUUUUUAAUCACCGUAACUAUGUAUUUCUUCCAUAUGGGCCUUAGAAUACAAAUAUUUGUUUUCAUGAUAUAAUAAUAAACUUCUGUAAAAACAAGACUGUCUACCCCAACAGACUAUAAACGCUUUGUGGCUGAGGGUCAAAGCUUAGCUAUUAAAAAACGACAACAACAACAACAACAACUGUGGGUAUAUACAACAUCUCUCAUCACCACGCACUUGAUCAGUUCAAAGGCUGUUUACUGAUGAGUCCAAUCUUUGGUUGAAACCCAAUGCACUUUCUGGCCACAUCCUUAAAACAAUUUAUGACAACUUUCUAUUAUCUGGCAGGCCACCAACGAUCCUAACAGAACUUACAGAGCAAUGGUCCUGAUGCGAGUCAUUCUGUUCUGUGACUUGACAUAGAAAUUGCAUUUGAGUCUUAAAUACGGUGCUAUUUCAACACCUGUCACCCUAGAAAGAUAGUAAGUCUUACCCCAAAACAUCUCAGGACAUAAUUUUCAGUCCCCUUGAUUCUAAAAAUACUGAGUGAUACAGAUCUGCCAGUAUGCCAAAGAAGGCUUGUGCCAUCUGCUUCGUUCUGCUCAUGUUGAUUAUUUUGGGGAUGAGAGAGGAUCAGACGGGAAGAAGAACAUAUAUAUAUGGUAACAGCCAGGAAAGACUGUGUUCCCAGGGGACAGGGGUAUACGAGGGUGGAGGGGGGAGUCAGAACACAACUGUAGUUCCAGGACUUCUCCAGUGCUACAUAACACAUCAUCUAAUGGGGCACAACUGCUUUACAACAUUCUUAAAAUAAACUGUGACUUCUGGCAUCUAUUUCCAUUGUCCUCAGUGACACAAUCAAUGCAAGGCCCAUUUCUGAGAGGAAAGUGAAUUUCCACUUUUGGUCUUCCAACAAGGGUGUUUUUCUCAAUAUCAGUUCUUUGAAGGACUUUGGUAGCAGUCUCUAUCAAAUUUAAAAAAGCUAUUUAGAAAUGUCAUCAGGAGAAAGAUGAUAUCCAGAACCUCCAGGUAGUCAUGGCUGCCAUGGCUGCAGACCUCACUCCCAUCAUGGCCGGAAGGCAAGGCCAAGGAUCACUCCACUUGCUGUUUCCUUAAAGUGCUACUUUCUCUCACGCUUCUGGCUUUCUCCCUCCUGGAAUGUCCUGGGAACCCUUGUCUACCUGGCAAACUUCUACUUUUCUCUGUCACUGCCAGGCAGAGGCACGAGUUCCUCCUCCACACGGUGAGGUGUUUACUCAAUGGCCCAGUAGAGAUCUCCACCUUAAUAUGUUUGAAGAGCUUUCACUCUAGUUUAUCCUCAUUGUAGGAAGCACUACCUGCCCUUCUAUUCUGCUCUGAGAGAGCCACCUGCUGAGCCAUCAGGUUUGUUGCCUAUAGAUUCUUUUCAGCUGUCACCUUGAAAGACUGAAUUUUGUUAACCCAGUGACUAAGCUCUUACUUUCUAAGAAAUGAGGCUUAAGAUAAACAAGAAAGACAAAGUGAAUUAUUUCUCUAAUAUUCAGGGAAAAAAUUGAGAAAGCUGUCCAGAUGAUUAUGCUACAGCUUUGGAACAUCAAAUCCACAUCCUAGCCAGAACAUCUGAAAAGGGACAGGGUGUGUUCUGUUUACAAAUAGUGUAAUAUUUGGUUAAAGAUGGCCAACUGAAUAAAAGCAUGUAGCUCCAGUCUCUCUGAAAAUUCUACUAAAACAGUAAUAGUGGGAUUUUUCUAAAACACAGCCUAAUAUAAAAGGGAGAAAACAACAAAUUUUGGAAGCUGAAAAGCAGGUAAACAAGCAGUGAUCGACUUGGCCAUCCUAAGAAAGCUAAAGUUUAAGCCAGCAUUAAGAGGCAACAAAACAACCUGCUAUACCCUGAAGCAUCUACCAUAUGUCUCUGCAAUUUGGUACAGUAGGUACUUCUGGAAGUGAGGAUGGAAACAGGUAUGAAAGCAGCAGGUGAAAGUCUGUUAGUGAAGCACUGAGCCCUCCUGACCUCUCCUGAUGCCUGCAGUGGGGUGCCUGCCCUUCCUUCCCCUAGCACAAGUGCUCGCUAUGGAGACUGUAUGAAAGUGGGGGAGUAGCCUGACACAGGGUGAAUGUCCUCUCUCUCAGGGCAGGAGGAUGGAGGAGUCUUCCCUGGGAAGCUGACCAGCCCAAGAGAAAAGAGCAAACCAUAAGGACAAAGGGGGUUUCCUCCAGGGGUCGCCACCUUACCCUAUACAAGGCCCCAGCUGACAAGCCCCACCUAAGUAUACAAAGCUCCCAUCAGCUCUUUACUGGCUUGACUCACAAAUUAGUAGGCCAAGGAUCACCAGAAAUCAGAGGAAGGCACUUAAUAGGGAAAACUGACACAAAAAGUAACGGGGAAAAAAAGACUACGGGGGGAAGGAAACUUCAAAAAUAAUAAUCAUUAAUAUCCUAGAGAGAACAGAGGUCCUUAAAAGAAGAGCAGGAUAUUAUUUUUUAAAGAGGACAACACCAACAAAAAGGCAGUGGCAGUGCAAGACCCCAGGGGCUGGGACAGGCAUUUGAGUCAAACUUGCAAGGGGAACACUUGAGAACCCAGAGAGCAUCUGAGAGUCAACACCAUGAGGCAGCCUCUUAUAACUCAGCUAAUAUAAUCCAGAGACUAACAUUCAUUGACUAAAUGGUUAAAAUAUGUAUCAUUUCACCAAGAAACAUGAAAGGAGAGGAGAUGAUUUUUAAACUAACAAAACAGAGUAUACUAUCUUCAUCACAUGACAAAGUUACCUAUUAUCAUUGCUUGCAUGAAACAUUCAUGUAUUAGAAGUCAUGGAUAAUACGAUACAGUAAGACAAUAAACUAAUGAAAGGCAUAAAAUUGGAAUGGAAUAAUUAUUUAUUUGCAGAGGAAUGUCGAUAUAGAAAAUCCCAAAGAAUCCACACACAAGAUUAGAAAGCCUGGCAAGGUGUUUGAUUAUAAAAAUCAAACUACACAAACAGCUGCAUUUCUAAAUAUCCACAAACAGAAAUAUAGUUUAAAUACCAUCAUAUUAGCCAGAAAAUAAAGACAGGUAACUAGUGCCCAGCCAAAGGGAAAGAGACAAUAUGCAAGACUGGAAUCAUGGACAGGAUAUAUUCAAAGAUGUGUUUCCUCAGGAAUGAAUGGACAGAAUACAAUUACAUUGCUCUAUAAUGACAUAUGCAUGAAAACAGAUAAAUAGAAGUGAAAAUCAUUACUAAAACUUGAGGUGGUGGUUGUCUAGGCAGUGACCAUCUCUUGCUUGGGAGAUCAAGAAAGGUGUCACAGAGAAGUAAAAGUUGAAGCUAGCGUAGAAGUUUACAACGUGUUCAAGAGGGAGGUGGUCUAUUUCAGGCCAAGGGAAUGAAUCCAACCACCUGGAGAAUAAGUGGUUCAGUAAGACUGGAAUACAGGUGCAGAUGUGGGCAAAGGAGAAAACAGGCUAGAGAGAUGGAGAAUCGUGAAGGGUCCACUCUACAAGGGGAAGGUGGGCUUUUUUGUCAUAAAUUGUUUUUAGCAGAUUGAUCUAUUUAGUCAAGUCCAGCCACAAACUCUUGAAUUUAUGUGGAGAUGCAGUGAGGAGGGCGGGAAGAGAAGAGGUAGAAAUAGGUAGAGAAUGCCAAUAAAAUGCUGUGAGGAAUGGGAAGAGGCAGUGGGGAAAGCCUCAGCCUGUGAUUGUGAGCCUCAAAGGGCCACAGAAAACUGACAAAACCAAACUACCAAGGGGAAAGGACGACCCAGGCGCUCACCACCAGGGAGCUGGGCAAUGGGGACCGAUCAGAAGCAGUGGACUUGCCACCAGAUUUCACUUUUUGAUGGUAACUCUGGCAGGGACGUAUAAGACAUGCUGGAGGGUGGUGGGCUGGAUAAUGAGAUCAUUUAGGCUUCUGCCAGAUCUCAGAAGAGAGAACACAGGCCUGCACAAGGAGAGAGGGCAGGUUCCAGUGACACUCUGUAAACAGAAUAACUGGAUUAGGACUGAGGUUAGGGGAAAGAGGGAAUGGUGGUGGCAGAGAGAGGUUUUCUUCUGCAUCCCAGAAGAAAAACUCAGCAAAAAAUAAGCGUUAGGAGUUCAUUUUUAGACAUGCUGGGCUUAAUGGUGCCUAAUGGGCAUUCGGGCCAGCAAGGAGACGUGAAGCGUGGAGUGGCUCAGGAGCUCUUCUAGUCUAGGGAAGCGGAUGCCUUUCUGAACCUAACUUAUACAGGCGAUUUUAUAAGUUACUCUGAGCUUUCCAUGGGUGGCCUCAUAUCCUGUCAGUGACUCACGUGUUCAACCUUGAUCACCAAUGUUUUCCUCCUAGAGUGGUUUGGUCAAGUGGGCUAGCCCUGGGGGUAAGGAGGAAUUUGUUUUCUUUAUGGCAGGCUGCAGCUAGACUGAGACUCCCUUAGGUCAUCUACUCUGCACUGUAGCCCGGAUGGAAGCAGCCUUGUGGGGGCAUGGAAUUCUCAGAGCUCCAAAGACAGAAGCAGCCUUCUGCCUCAAAAUCCCCCCAGCUCCUCUUGGAUAAGAUGGUCUACUGAUAGGCCUAUGGUGAUAAAAAUGAGCAAAAUGAGAAUUAAGUCUGAGUUCAAAAACUUGAUGUUGGUAAAUAACUUCUAGAUGGUGAUAGUACAAACAAGAUCCUAAUAAACAAACAAACAAACAAACCCAAAACAAAAAUCUUUUGGUUAUCUCUUCUACUAGAAGAAGGUAGGCUUUUUAUAGAUGGGAGCUUUUCUUUGCUAUAUUUAGCAGAUUGAAGAUAUCUAACCUAUUGAGUCAAGCCUAGCCCCUGACUGCAUCUACAUGGAGAUGGAGUGAGGUGGUAGAGGUAGAGGAUGCCAAUAAAACGUUCUCAACUGAAACAGGAAGAAGUCCAGAGAAGCUAUGGAAAAGGCAAAAGCCAAUGAAUGUGAGCCUUGGAGAGCCACAGAGGACUGAGAGAUGCUGAACUACCAAGGGGGAAGGGAUGACUCUGAUGAGCAGGGAGCUGGGAUCUGUCACCCCAGAAGUGCUUCAUCUCUCACAGGUCUGGGGCCCCUUCCACCACUGGCCUUCCUCAUCCAUAUAGCACGGAAGCAAGGGGCUGGGACAGCCAGGAUCCCCACGAAAGGGCCAAAGGCCUUCUUCCAGAUGGGUCAUCCAGUAUAGUACCCACCAGGGGGAACGGAGGAAAAGAAAUAUUGUUGCAGACUCUUGGAUCUUUGACAGGCCUCCUCACCUCUCCCCACCAUAUGCAUUGUAUUUUUAAAUAGAAACAGUCACAAAAAAAUAGACAAAUGUCUACAAGUAAAAUAGAUGUGUGCAUUGAGAAAGGCAAGGGUUAAGUCCAGGCCUGGUUCUCAAGCUGAGAUGGGACUGCCUUGUUUGAAGAGGACUAUUUAUGAAUGAAGACUCUCAGGAGUCUGGUGGGGGGGUGAGGGGUGGAGAGCAACUCCCAAAAUCCAGACAAGAGCCUUUGGUAUUAGGGGAAGAUUUUCUAAUUGUUACAGUCAGGAAUGGGGAUCAUUCCUUUAUGAUAGCUGAAAAUACAUCCCCCUCCUCACUCCCUAGAAACCCUUGAGUCUCGCCUUUAGGCCCUUUUAGGGUCUGCUUCUAUAGCUGAUGGCGGUGAUCUCUUUUCCUGGGACUCUUAAGUGUAGGACAUGGAGGAACCAGAACUCUAAUUAGCAGCAGGACCUAUUAUUUUUCCAAUAAGGUUAACAUUCAAGGGAAAGAAAAGCCUCUUUCUUUCUCAGGAAGUGUGUGAGGAUAUAGGCUCACAUUGAGAAGAGAAAUGUGAAAAGCAUAUUAGUUACAUUGACCAUGGGAUGCCUGGUUUGUGAGUGAAAAUCACCGGAAUGACCUUGAAGGAUCUGAGAUCUAGAAAGGAUGCUCAAGACUUGGGUGGACUGUUUGAUCCUAAAAUAACAUAUCACUAAAUAAACAGAAAAAGGCCUUGAAGUACAGAUAACUACAUGGGAGCAGGGUAUCUUGACACUGGAUUUAUAGAUGACCUCAUUGUUUAUUUUUUGAAUAUCUGCACUUUCUAAAGUUUGAUAAUGACUACUUAGGCUGAGUCUAGGAGUAUACCCGGUUGACAAAUGGAGGAGGCAUAUUGCAGAGGCAGAGGGGAGAACAGAGAAGAGCUCGGAGUCAUGAAGCAGCAUAGGGCAAUGUGGAACACGUGGUGCAGCCUGGCUGGGAUGGGCAGGAGAGGGGCCUGUGUCAGAAAACCAAUAACAGGGAUAGUGCACCUGGCAGGGGACACUGGGUUUAUCCUACAGGGAACUGGGAGCCAGUGAAAGUGAGGAUGUCCCAUCUACAGAUGAAUUGCAGAGAGGAAAAAGUUACAUAUAAUCACUUAUCCCUCCCCCAUGGGUAACUCAGUUACCUGGAGAGAACAGCAGAUUGAAAGGUACUGUUCUGAAAUGCUAACUGGUUCUUUUUACAUGAGAUGAACCCAAGACCAAAUCGGAUUACCCUAGACACAAAUUUGAUGGGCAGUUUUAAAGUAACGUGCAGUAACUUUUCAAGCUCGAUGUAGAAAUAUCCAGAACUUAUAGUAAACUGUGUACAUGCAUGGUUAUGUGAGAAAAGUGAAGCUGCUGCACCUGUUCCCAAGCUCACUCCACUUCCUCCAGAAGCAUGCCUGUCUGCCUCUCGGGACACAGGCCGUACUUUAUUAGACACAAUUAUUUCAAGAAGCUUGAGAAUUUUCUCUUUGCCUUUCCAUGUCAUGUCCAAUAAAUUCAAAGGAUGCAAAGCAAAUUGUUCAUCCAGGAAUAGUUAAUUUGAGAAAUAAAAAUAUUUAUCACUGGUCCUUUAAGAUUAUCCUGAUUCUUGAUUUUUUCUUUUUAAACUGAUUAACAUUUCAUCAGGUUUCCAUUUUAAAAGAAAAUGGCACUGAAGAGACAAGGCAAGUUUUCCAAGCGACAACACUGGCUUUUCUGAAAGGGGAAAGGAAUGUUAAGGAAAUGGGGGAGAAAGCUUAAAAAGAGUGGAACACUAGCAAGCAGGGCCUCUUCUCCUUUUCACCUUAAGUCUUUUUUCUCUCCCAUUCACAGCUUUAGGUCCUUUGUUUGUUUAACAAACCAUUACAAUCAUACCCAGUUCAAUGGGGGAGGAAUGUGAACUCUCUGAGUAGCUGUCCUUGCAAUCCACAUGUGUGGUCCAUCCCCCAGCUCAUCCGCAGGCAGCUUUCAUGUGCUGCUCUGCGCUCCCCGUCGCCCCGGAGGCCGGCACCUUGCUCACAAUAAGCCUCAAUUUCCCACCGCUGCCUGCUCGCAGCUCCUCCCCAGCAGCUGAGAGCAAUGUCUCAAGUGGCUCUUCCUCCCCUGCUUGCCUUGCAAUCAUACUGUCCACCCUGCUUUGGCUGGCCCCCUUCAGCUCCUGAGACAGACAAGGCCUGCUGUGUUAGCCACACCCCACCUGUUCGCAGCCCAUGGACUCGCCACUGAAUACUUCGGCAGACACAUUCCAGGAUCUUCCUGGCUAGCACUCCUAGUCUUCUAAUGUCAGGCACACUGUAAACAGAAGAUACAGGCAAGACGCUCCCCCACCCCACCCCAACUCCCAGCCCUAACUAGAACUGCUAGGUCCUAGUAGAUAUGUUGGCCCUGUUGGGAUUAAUUUCAAUUUCUUGGUCAAUAAAUCCAAAUAUUUAGUGACAAUAUUGUAUUUCAGUAGGAGUCGGAAUACUAUUUAAUAAACUAUUUCAGUUGAGCUCAUAAAGCUCUCUCAUGCUAUUCCAAUAAUUUCCAUCUCAUAGCCCUAAGAGAUAGGUAGAAGGGCAUCAUUGUCCCCAUUUCACAAAUGAGGAAACUGAGGCUCAGAGGAUUUAAGUUUACUGCCCAUCAGCAUGGACUAAUGACAUACUGCAAGUAAUACACUGUCCUAAGCAAAACGCCUAGCACAGAGUGAGUGCCCCAAAGGCAUUAGCUUCUAUUAAUAUCAUUACUGGUGAUGAUGAUAAUGAUGAUGAACAGAGGUUGCUCCCAGGUGUUCUGAACUAAGCCAAGUGCUCUUUCAACCUACGCUUUGCCAUCCCUUCUAGCCACACUGUCUACAUGAGCAGUGAAGUUCAGCAACUGCUUUACAACAGCGUUUUCAAAUAAAGCCUCAGGAAGUAUGGCUGGAUUGCCUCAUGUGGCUGGGAUGCGACCAGCAUCUUUCCCAGGCUUAUCUUUCAGUCGACAUCUGCCACAAAGACAGGACAACCUCUUACACAUCUUAUGUACACAAGUUAGGAGUGUUGGCAGGGGCAGCUUUCUUCUUUUGAACUGACAGGGUUGUCAGCAGAAAAUUCCAUAGAUCUAUGUGUAUUACUAGGCUGUGGAUGUGGGACAGCAGAGGUCAUGAAAAGUUGCUAACUGCAUCAUCCAAUUCCCUGAAACACAUGUGCACUGAGCUUUAAAAAAUGAAAGGGCUAAAAGAACCCUGUUCUCGGGUAUUCUGCAGUUUGUGGAGGAAAUGUGUUUAUUUUCCACUAGAACCUUUUUGAAGUACCCUGAACCUCCAGCAUGUUCUUGCCUAUGAUGUGUUUCCAAGCAAUCGUUAAUAAACAUGCCCAACUAGAAAUAAUCUUAAAACAUGCGCACCUACUGAGUGACAGGGAACAUCUGCUGCGAGGCAGGGACCGAGUCCUCCCAGAAGUUUGUCUGAAGAUUCAAACCUGUGAGAAGAGACCUUG
RNAcentral lists this long non-coding RNA (12145 nucleotides) under Homo sapiens (human). Its description in RNAcentral is "HSALNT0114622". Lineage: Eukaryota; Metazoa; Chordata; Mammalia; Primates; Hominidae. The record is from RNAcentral.